This 639-nucleotide long non-coding RNA is filed under the name Marmota monax (woodchuck). The record is from RNAcentral. Lineage: Eukaryota; Metazoa; Chordata; Mammalia; Rodentia; Sciuridae.
GGACAGACAGGCAACAUAGCAAGACUUUCAAAUAACUAAAUAAAUAGGAGUAGGAGAGAAAAUAUUGAGUUAAUAUUUGUGAGCUCUUCUAUGCAAAUAGCAUAUAGUUGACAUUGCUAGACUUCAGUGACAGUGACUGAAAAGCUUAACUAUACGUAUUCUUCAAUAUAUUUAUUUUUUUUCUUUUGAACCCAGUAAUAUAGGCUACAACCUGAUGCACUGCAUGGGAAUGUUGAGCAGAUGAAUGUAACUUAGGGACCUGGCAAAGACAAACUUGAGGCAUGUUAGCAAAAUUAUCAUCAGGUGCAUGCUCUUGUUCCUGGGAUUUCAACAGUAGUGUUCUUUAUACCAUGUGUUUUCCCAAAGACUAUAGUGGUUCUAUAAAUUAAGUGAUGCAAACAAUUAAAAUUAAUUUAAUAUAGUCAUAGCACAAACCUAUGUUUGGAUGAGAGAUAAGCCAACAACACCCCACCCCCUUGCCACCAGUCAUUCCCAGAUAAUUCUAUUUAAAAGGGAAAACAAAUUAUUUUAUUGUUAAUGUUUUCAGUGGAAUUGAAUUGGACAUCCUAAAGCUUUUAAUGAUGCAAUAGCUUCUUUGUAAAUGUCUUUCUGGUCUCCUAGGGGUAUGGGCACCACUAA